Molecule: long non-coding RNA, 1544 nt
Organism: Monodelphis domestica (gray short-tailed opossum)
Lineage: Eukaryota; Metazoa; Chordata; Mammalia; Didelphimorphia; Didelphidae
Source: RefSeq, a predicted model, not a curated record
CUCUGCCAAGGAGAGAAGACCGGGGUGGGGAUGAGGCUCCGAGGGGGCAUCCUGGGGCCACUCGGCAGCCACUAGUUGGAGAGCCCUGGAGGGGGGCUUCCUGGAGGAGGAGGAUUUUAGCAGGGACGAAAGAAGGCCGGCUGGUCCCUGGGCAGAGCAGAGAAGGGAGAACAUUCCAGACAGGAGGAUGCCAGAGACGGAGCGUCUCCUCGGUGGGGCAGCCGGGGCGCCCCGAGAGGCCCAGGCCUAGAAACGAGCUGUGUGACCCUGGUCAAGUCACUUAGCCCCCCUGCCCAGCCCCGUGGCCUUGGAACCGAUCCACAGCCGGAAGGUGGGGUUUAAAGGCAUAGCGGCAGGUGUCGGGCCCCGCAGAGCUUUCCCAUUGGCCCGGGCGGUUUCGGGGCCCCUCCCCCACCCCGUCCUCAUCCUGGCGGUCACCCUGGGCGAGCGGCCGAGGGGCCCGCAGCCCGGACGGACGGACGGACGGAGGCCGGCGGGGCUGGCGCCAGCUCCUUCGGAGGGAGCCGUUUGGGCAGAAGCGGGGCCCCCGCGGCGGUGGACCGAGAGAGGAGGGAGCCGGGGGAGGGGGAGGUCUGGAGGAUGCCGGAGCGGGGAGGGGAGGAGGAGAUGAGGGCGAGGGGCGGGGACGAGGUGGGCCGCGCUCUGCCCGGCCUCUCGGGGCUACUUUCGCUCUCCGUCCGGCGCUCCCAGCCCCUAGAGCAGCGCCAGGCACCACAGGGAGUGAGCUCCCCGUCACCCGAAGUCUCCAAGCAAUGGCUCAGCGUGGCCCCAGGGGGCUUCCCGCUUGGGUCCGCGGGGUCGGAAGGGUCUGGAGCGCCUGCACCCCGCACGCCGGGCUGGGGCGGGGGCCGGUUCCAGUCCUCACCGGAACAGCUCGAUCUCGUCGUCCCCGAAGGGCUUGUAGUCGCCCUCUGCGAACAUGCUGAGAUGAGGAAACUGAGGCCAGGGGAGGGCCCCACCCCAUCCACACAGGCGGGAAUCCUGGGCUCAGACCCUUUGCCUUGAGCCCCUCCUCUCCUGCAGGAGCCUGGACUGAGCCUCCCCCAGAGGCCUGCAACCUGGGGCAGGAGGCAGGGAGGGCCUGGUGGUAGACCCAGCUCCACCCUGGGGCAAGCGACUGCCUCAGUUUCCCUCACUGGGGAUUGGGGAGAAGGAACCUUGCUCCUCGGGAGACAGAAGAGCCUUCUCAAGUCUUGGGGUCACCAGGCACAAUCCACGAGGAUGCCGAGAGCCCAGCCAGAACGGGACCCUCCUACAUGGGCACAAGGUGGCCGGGGAAGGAGCGCAGCCCCAAGCUUCCUGCCGAGGGGACUCCGCGCCUCUGAAGCCCCCCUUCCAGCGCUGAAAGUCCAGCUUGGAAGAUUCUGGAGGCUGACCCCGAGGCCUACGCUAGCAUUCUAAGCCUGUUGGGCUUGGCUGAGGCUACCCUGCGGUGCCUUAAGACUGUCUCUAGUUCCUUGUUUAGUUCAAACUAAUAAAAAACCCAUGCUGGUGGUGGACCUUGUGGGCCACUGGAACCCCCA